GCCGACGAGGAGCGGCGGUCGCCGCCACCGGCCUGGUCAGCCGGGGCAGGCCCUCGAUGCCCUGCGGCCCCGCGAUCCCGCUCGCCGUCGCUGACGCC
This 98-nucleotide transfer RNA is filed under the name Streptomyces cinerochromogenes. RNAcentral's name for it is "tRNA-Thr". Lineage: Bacteria; Bacillati; Actinomycetota; Actinomycetes; Kitasatosporales; Streptomycetaceae. The record is from RNAcentral.